UGGCGAACGGGUGAGUAACACGUGGGUGAUAUGCCCUGCACUUUGGGAUAAGCCUGGGAAACUGGGUCUAAUACCGGAUAGGACGAUGGUUUGGAUGCCAUUGUGGAAAGUUUUUCGGUGUGGGAUGAGCUCGCGGCCUAUCAGCUUGUUGGUGGGGUAAUGGCCUACCAAGGCGUCGACGGGUAGCCGGCCUGAGAGGGUGUACGGCCACAUUGGGACUGAGAUACGGCCCAG
Molecule: ribosomal RNA, 234 nt
Filed under: uncultured Actinomycetales bacterium
Lineage: Bacteria; Bacillati; Actinomycetota; Actinomycetes; Actinomycetales
Description: partial 16S ribosomal RNA
Rfam family: Bacterial small subunit ribosomal RNA
Source: RNAcentral